Molecule: RNA transcript, 4960 nt
Organism: Alosa sapidissima (American shad)
Lineage: Eukaryota; Metazoa; Chordata; Actinopteri; Clupeiformes; Clupeidae
Exons: 5
Source: RefSeq, a predicted model, not a curated record
GCCUAUCAUCCAGUCUGUGCGGUGCAAGGUUAGUUAACAGCUGCCUAGAGAUAGACCUAGAUCUUCCAUGGAAGACUGUUAUGACGCACAGGCAAACGACCAGAUAGUGCCGGGGCCCAGCCCCCCAUACAGUCAACCUGUCUGGACUGGAAUGUGAAGGUGGACUCUAUAUUAUGGAGAUACAUAAUCAGGCCUGGAAAGGCAAACUUUUAAAAUGCUUCUCCUGGAUUUGCAAGAGAAAGUCUUUGGCCUUAAGAAGAUGCUUGUCAGAUGUUUUAAGCACAUCUGGCCUCAGCAUAUAUUCAUCUGAAUGCUGGAAAUCCUUGGUGCCCAUAUUGUUGUUCUGUGGCAUUUUGCUGGCUCUGGUGGCACUCUCUCAGGUGGAUAGACUGCGCAGUUUUGUCUGUGGAAUUUUCAUUCCUCAAUACCACUAUCCCUAUGCAGUGCCACUCACCUUUGUACAGAAUGCCUACCUAGGUCCUGAUCAUCUCCCUGCCGUUGCUGGCCUUGCACGGCGUGGGCCUGAUCUCUCUGCGGCCGUACUCCCUCAGACUCGGGGAACGCAUGCUGGUGCCCACUGUGUGUGGCAGUGCCCAGGCUGUGCUGGAGCUCUGGGCGAAGGCCAGUGCCCACUCGGGACUUUACCCUCUCUUCACAUGCCUGCUGCCUGUCCUAAGUGUGGUAUGGAGUCGCGUCCUGUCGCUGACAGCAAAACCCUCUCUCUACCAGUCAUGUUUACUGGCCGGGGUCACUCUCGGUGCAAUCACUAUAACAGUUGCAAAGGGCAUAUAUUUAGUGGAGACGCUGGAGUGGGUGUACUCGCCUCUUAGUGUGCUGCUGCACAGCCUCUCCCUCGCCUGGAUGGCCAAAGUUGCAGAAGCUGAACGGGGCCACUUGACCGUGUUUGACUGCCACUUUUCCCUGGUGGUGACGCGCUGCAUGGUGCUGGGCUUCCUGUGCCUGCUGCACCCGGAUGGUCCUAGAGCACUGGAAGAGGGUAACUGGCACAGUCUGCUCUUCCUGGGCUACCUACUGGCCAUCCUCCUGCUUGGAGCUCUACAGCACCUCCUUAUUGACAUGACUGCACUGUACUUCUCACCUCUGGCAGCUGCCUUGCUUUACGCUGCUCGAGAGUUGGCUCGUCCCUUUUAUAGUCUGCUGUAAAAGGGAUGGAGGACAAAGAUAAUGUUUAUGGAGCUUUUAUACAAUAAUGCACAGCAAAAGGUCCAAAGCUAAACAACGAUUGGUUUCUUAACAAAGAGAGUGUUGAAAUGUCAAUACUUGGUGAAUGUUGAUGAAUCAAUCAGAAUUUGACAAGUGUACAGAGCUGAUAUGUUUUCUGGAGUAUGUCAGUGGUGAUAUACACUGGUCAUUGCUACCUUCCUGCUACACACUUCUCGUAUCUCUGAAUGUUACACACUCCAAUCACACUGAUGGCUUUGUGGCACAAACACAAAAUGCAUGACAUCUGGGAAGGAGUAAUAAGAGAUUUUGACUUGCAUUAUACACAAAGUACUUUCAAAAGUGUGUAACUACAUGUAGAGAUGGAGUUGGAAAUUUUCACAUUCUGAAUUCUUUCGCUGGCAGAAAGUAGAGUGAGAACUCCGAGCCUGAAGCCUAAGCUAGAACAUAGGGACUACUGCAGGUUAUAAGUAGAUAUGAAGUGUAACUGGCAGGUAUAGACAGAACUCAAGAGGUGUUUAAACAUACCAAACCCAAUUUGAAAAAAGUUUUCGACAUUUUACCACAGGUAUUAAUAGUGCUAUUGACCAUUGUCUGUUUUCGCUUAAUAAUUUAGCCAAAUCUGCUCGAGCAUGAGAUAACCCAAGGUUAGCACAAGUCCAAAUGUACUGUUUCAAGGGAAUGCUCUGGUAGAUAACAAACUCCAGCAGAAAAGAAAAAAUACAGUGCAAAAUAAUUUAUUUAUUAUACUUGUCAGACUGUACAGAAAACAGUAGAAGACCAAGAACUAAAUUGCAGCGGUUUUGGUUCACAAGAAUCAAUGUACUGAGUUGAUGUGAAAUAGAACAGCACCACUCUGACUUAUUUGUCACAGUUGUUUGUUCAUUCUCCUACAGCUUAUAAGGGAAGCAUGGUGUUCAUUGUGAGAAACAUGAUGGAGGCCUCAUGAGGCAGACCUGCUUUAGUGCUAGAUCUGCUGUUAGCUUUUGUUCGCUCAGCAGUCCAUGUGUAAGUGCUUGGUUACAUUGAGUGCUUUCUGCUGACGGACAUGGACAACACAUCUGGUUGACUUUGGGAGAACUGUGACAUUUGAGCAAGUCACCCAAAAUCAGGGUUGGUCUGAAUUUGCUGGAAGACGGAUGCCCAAGCUCUGCAACAGGUUUGAUGCAGGCCCUGCUAAGCCUUCCUGUGAAGCCAGGGACUCUAGUAAAUUGGUGACCAGGUUAAGGUCCACAUCCAGAGGCUGAAUCUCAUCUUCCUGUUCAGUGCUGGGAUGAGCUUUGGAGGUUUCAGAUGAGUUUGCUUCCUAAUAUGAAGGGAAAAGAAUACAGACUUAUUCCAACUACAGAUGCAGUAUGGAACUACAAUUUAACAAUGUAAAUGUCACUAUUUUGGAAAUGCACAUAUGUUGAUCCCUUUAACAUAACUUUUACAUUGUGCGCAUCACUUCAUUUACGGAACUGAGGAAAAUUAAGAGUACCCACUUUUUCAGACUGCACGAAACUCUUUCCGAUGUUUGUGCCUCCGAGUUCUUGGUCCAUUUGGUCCAUGUAGCUCUUCAGACUGUUAAGGGCUUCAGCUCCAGACUGCUUUGGAGGACCAGAGAAGCCAAGAGCCUCCUCCUCUUCCUCAUCAUCAUCAUCAUCAUCCUCCAAAUCAUCGGAGUCCAAUUCAUCAUCCUUGGCUCCUGGUAGAGUGAAUGGACAGUAUUUUACACAAUGGUCCAAACUCGUUCUCAUUUGGCCUUGUGCUUAAACCUGUAACCACGCACCUCCACUACUGUACCAUCAUCUCUGCAACACCAGCACAUAAAAGUCGAUGCCUAUUUAGUAUUUCUGCUAGUAGCUAGCUUGGCUUCCCCCAGGUUACUAGAAAACAUGCUUUCUCAACCUGCCAAACUAUUCUGCCCAUAGACUUUAAACUCAGCAACAGCAUGAUCAAUAAAUAACUGGGAGAGGUUUACCCAAGCUUGGUUAUGGCAAGCUUUGUGCUCAACUGAUAAGGACGUUAACCCCCUGACCAUUUACACCUACCGAGGAGUCUGUCCAGAGCACUUGUCACAGUGUCCGCAUCAAAGCUAAAGGGUUCAUUAGACUGAGACCUGGAAAAAAAAGACAAUAAAACAGAUUUUAUCUUUUUAGAUUUAACUAGAUUUUAUAGACCUUAUCUUCUCAUUAGAAAUACACAAAAGUAAAAGCAUACUUCUACCUCACUCUAGGAAAUACAUAAAAAAUACUUCUGCAGUUACAAUUGUUACAAUGUUAUUAUGUAAUAGGGCUGCUCAAUUAUGGCAAAAAUCAUAAUCAUUUGGUCAAAAUUGUAAUCACGAUUAUUGAUUAACGAUUAUUCGAUUAUUGAUGUUAGCCUUCUUGUGAUACUUAAAAUAUUACGAGAAGGUGAACAGGCACGACCAACAUGACUCGUCAUAAAAUAUCACGAGAAGGCGAACAGGCACGACCAGCCGCGAGCAUUUGAUAAGGGACAUCAUGGGUGGUAAAGAGUUAAAUUAUUAACAUUUUGUAAAUAAGCGGGUCGGAUCACAGGUCGGGUAUCAUUUUGUCUUAAUUAAUAUUCACGGUCCGAGUUGCGGUCGGGUUGGUUUAAAUACCAGGCGAGCUUGAGACCAGACCCGCGCACCACUGUUACACACACAACCCAAACUGCUCGAGUGGCCUGUGCACAGCGGGGAGGGGCGUGUCGAGUGCGUGGCUUAAAGAAGCAGCAUGAAUCAGUGCGCUGUAGGAGUUGAAAUUGUACGUAUUUCAAAAAAAAAAUCUUAAUGGAAUGUCGCAAAAAAUCGUUUUUUCUCGAUUUUACUAUUUUUGUGAUUGUUUGGAGCCAAAAUCGAGAUUGAAAUUGAAGUUUGAUUAAUUGCACAGCCCUAUUAUGUAAUGUGCAAUAUAGUCAUGCUUUCUGAUGUUAGUCUCUGAGACUUACCAGGGUAGUUCUGCUCCUUCGUAUGAGGACAUGGUAUUGAUGAAGUUCUUCAUCCCCUGAGUGACUGCAACUAGGCUGUAGCCGGCCUCCUGCUCAGCCUCUUCCUCUGCCCCAGCUGACCCUCUCUCUCCGGGCUGGGUUCUGCUCUGGGCCUCCGUCCUGCCCAAGCCCCCGCCACGGCCAGCUCUCUCCUGCAGGAUCUGCUCCAGGUCUUGAGGGGUGAGGUCAAGCCAGCCGUCACCUAUGAGUGGGUACAGACUCACAGUCAGUGGCUGUAUCCACCAUACAACUUGUGCUGUAGUGCACUAGUAUCAAUCAAAAAGUAUAGGUUAAUGCCCUAAUCAGAAUUUGAAUUUGAACCCAUGACCUUGAGCACUUAAUGACCUUAUGAAUGUGUUUAAGUCCCUGAAUAUGUGUAGGAGAAAACUGUGUGUGUGGAUGUAGCAAAGGAAGAGAGCAGUCACCACACCCAGCCUUGAUCCCGGGGCAUCAAACCUGCAGCUUGACCACAAAGCCAAAGAGCCAGGCUCGAUGGCAUGGCAGUCAGAGUGCAUACUCAACCGCAGUGACGGUACUCACUGCAAUUUUGACCUUUAACCCCAUGACACUGAAGGAGAAAUUUUGGAUUACUAACAUUUUUAUGAAAUAGAAGUGAUUAUUAAUAAGUUUAUAUGUAUUAGAAGUGAAUACUAAUCUACAUUUAUUACAUAUAAGUGAUUAACAUUUCAUUUUUAUAUAUUCUGUGUAUGCUUUCUAUACAUUCGAUACUGUGCAUCAACUUUGCUUUGUCUGUCAUUUGCUCUCUCCAUGUCACGACUUUCUAAUAAAGGUCAUGCGACCC